CUUGGUUAGCUUGAGAUUCAGAUUUACAACCAUAUCAUUCCGUGGUGCCAAACCCCCGUACACGUACGAAGGACCUAACACGUACGGCCAUGGCCCUCCUCAGCCUCAGCCGCCACGCUGGCGCCCUCCCACUACAUCGACAGGGUCCUUCUUCUUCCAGCCAGCUUCUUGCACGACCACACGCGAUCUCGACCUCCUCCGAGGCCAUGGCCAUGCACCGCCUCAGCCACCACAGAGGCAUCCUCCCACUACGUCGGCAGGGUCCUUCUCCCCGCCAACUUCUUGCACGAUCGCGCACGAUCUUGGCCCCCUCCCAGCCCACGGAGGAAGACAAGAAGACGGAGGAAGACGAGAAGCCCACGGAGGAAGACACGAAGACGGAGGAAGACGAGAAGGAGAGCAGCCCCCCGCCGGUGUCGUGGGUGCAGAGGUCACUUGAGGCGGCACGCCCGUACGCGAUGCUCGCUCGUCUCGACAAGCCCAUCGGGUCCUGGCUCCUCGCUUGGCCAUGCAUGUGGUCACUAACAAUGGCGGCAAUGCCAGGGGCGCUUCCUGACUUGAAAAUGCUCGCACUCUUCGGAUGUUUAACUAUCCCCAUGAGGGGAGCCGCUUGCACGGUCAAUGAUCUUUUCGACCGCAACAUUGAUAACAAGGUUGAGCGCACCAAAAGCAGGCCGCUUGCAUCAGGCGCUCUAACUCCUACUCAAGGAUUGUGCUUCUUCGGAGUUCAACUACUACUAGGACUGGGAGUGGGUUUUCUUCUCCAACUGAACAACUUAAGCCGUGUUCUUGGGCUCAUUUGGUUUCCAUUGGCCUAUUCAUAUCCCCUAAUGAAGAGGCUCACAUUUUGGCCUCAGGCAUAUCUCGGAUUAUCGUUCAACUAUGGAGCUUUAUUAGGAUGGGCUGCUAUCAAAGGUACUUUAGAGCCCACCAUCGUCCUUCCAAUGUAUAUUGCUGGGAUAUGUUGGACAUUGGCGUAUGAUACCAUAUAUGCACACCAGGACAUAAAAGAUGACCUCAAAGUAGGAGUUAAGUCCACAGCCAUAAGGUUUGGAGAUUCAACCAAGCACUGGAUUAGUGCCUUUGGUACUGCAACGAUUGGCGGUUUAGCACUUAGUGGCUAUAAUGCUGGACUUGCUUGGCCAUACUACCCAAUUCUUGCAGCUGCAGCUGCACAGCUGGCAUGGCAGAUUUCAACUGUUGACUUAACUGAUCGCGCAGAUUGCAACAGGAAAUUUGUCUCAAAUAACUGGUUUGGAGCAUUGGUAUUCAUCGCCAUAUUUUUCGGUCGACUUGCAUCAUGAUCGAUACAUCAGGCGUGAUGUGACACUGUGACUUCCUGUUAUCACCAGAAUUUGACCGAGUCAGAGGUGGGCCGCGAUCAAGAUGGGCUUGAAGAAUAUACAUGGAAGAAUAUACAUGAAUCGGCCUUAUAUGCAAAGUUUGGGCUAGUUUGCCCGUGUAUCUGUAAUAUAGUAGGAUACGUGUUGGUUAGUUAGAGUUUGGCUCGUGCACGGUUGGGAUUAUUCCCACGUUAGAAAGUCUACGGACUAUAAAUAUGUAUCUAGGGUUUAUGAAAUAAACAACAAUCACGUUCACCACAAA
Molecule: non-coding RNA, 1605 nt
Organism: Lolium perenne
Lineage: Eukaryota; Viridiplantae; Streptophyta; Magnoliopsida; Poales; Poaceae
Source: RefSeq, a predicted model, not a curated record